GAUUAAGUUAUUAAGGGCGCACGGUGGAUGCCUUGGCACUAGAAGCCGAUGAAGGACGUUACUAACGACGAUAUGCUUUGGGGAGCUGUAAGUAAGCUUUGAUCCAGAGAUUUCCGAAUGGGGAAACCCAGCAUGAGUUAUGUCAUGUUAUCGAUAUGUGAAUACAUAGCAUAUCAGAAGGCACACCCGGAGAACUGAAACAUCUUAGUACCCGGAGGAAGAGAAAGAAAAUUCGAUUCCCUUAGUAGCGGCGAGCGAAACGGGAAGAGCCCAAACCAACAAGCUUGCUUGUUGGGGUUGUAGGACACUCUAUACGGAGUUACAAAGGACGACAUUAGACGAAUCAUCUGGAAAGAUGAAUCAAAGAAGGUAAUAAUCCUGUAGUCGAAAAUGUUGUCUCUCUUGAGUGGAUCCUGAGUACGACGGAGCACGUGAAAUUCCGUCGGAAUCUGGGAGGACCAUCUCCUAAGGCUAAAUACUCUCUAGUGACCGAUAGUGAACCAGUACCGUGAGGGAAAGGUGAAAAGCACCCCGGAAGGGGAGUGAAAUAGAACCUGAAACCGUGUGCUUACAAGUAGUCAGAGCCCGUUAAUGGGUGAUGGCGUGCCUUUUUGUAGAAUGAACCGGCGAGUUACGAUUUGAUGCAAGGUUAAGCAGUAAAUGUGGAGCCGUAGCGAAAGCGAGUCUGAAUAGGGCGUUUAGUAUUUGGUCGUAGACCCGAAACCAGGUGAUCUACCCUUGGUCAGGUUGAAGUUCAGGUAACACUGAAUGGAGGACCGAACCGACUUACGUUGAAAAGUGAGCGGAUGAACUGAGGGUAGCGGAGAAAUUCCAAUCGAACCUGGAGAUAGCUGGUUCUCUCCGAAAUAGCUUUAGGGCUAGCCUCAAGUGAUGAUUAUUGGAGGUAGAGCACUGUUUGGACGAGGGGCCCCUCUCGGGUUACCGAAUUCAGACAAACUCCGAAUGCCAAUUAAUUUAACUUGGGAGUCAGAACAUGGGUGAUAAGGUCCGUGUUCGAAAGGGAAACAGCCCAGACCACCAGCUAAGGUCCCAAAAUAUAUGUUAAGUGGAAAAGGAUGUGGCGUUGCCCAGACAACUAGGAUGUUGGCUUAGAAGCAGCCAUCAUUUAAAGAGUGCGUAAUAGCUCACUAGUCGAGUGACACUGCGCCGAAAAUGUACCGGGGCUAAACAUAUUACCGAAGCUGUGGAUUGUCCUUUGGACAAUGGUAGGAGAGCGUUCUAAGGGCGUUGAAGCAUGAUCGUAAGGACAUGUGGAGCGCUUAGAAGUGAGAAUGCCGGUGUGAGUAGCGAAAGACGGGUGAGAAUCCCGUCCACCGAUUGACUAAGGUUUCCAGAGGAAGGCUCGUCCGCUCUGGGUUAGUCGGGUCCUAAGCUGAGGCCGACAGGCGUAGGCGAUGGAUAACAGGUUGAUAUUCCUGUACCACCUAUAAUCGUUUUAAUCGAUGGGGGGGACGCAGUAGGAUAGGCGAAGCGUGCGAUUGGAUUGCACGUCUAAGCAGUAAGGCUGAGUAUUAGGCAAAUCCGGUACUCGUUAAGGCUGAGCUGUGAUGGGGAGAAGACAUUGUGUCUUCGAGUCGUUGAUUUCACACUGCCGAGAAAAGCCUCUAGAUAGAAAAUAGGUGCCCGUACCGCAAACCGACACAGGUAGUCAAGAUGAGAAUUCUAAGGUGAGCGAGCGAACUCUCGUUAAGGAACUCGGCAAAAUGACCCCGUAACUUCGGGAGAAGGGGUGCUCUUUAGGGUUAACGCCCAGAAGAGCCGCAGUGAAUAGGCCCAAGCGACUGUUUAUCAAAAACACAGGUCUCUGCUAAACCGUAAGGUGAUGUAUAGGGGCUGACGCCUGCCCGGUGCUGGAAGGUUAAGAGGAGUGGUUAGCUUCUGCGAAGCUACGAAUCGAAGCCCCAGUAAACGGCGGCCGUAACUAUAACGGUCCUAAGGUAGCGAAAUUCCUUGUCGGGUAAGUUCCGACCCGCACGAAAGGCGUAACGAUUUGGGCACUGUCUCAACGAGAGACUCGGUGAAAUCAUAGUACCUGUGAAGAUGCAGGUUACCCGCGACAGGACGGAAAGACCCCGUGGAGCUUUACUGUAGCCUGAUAUUGAAAUUCGGCACAGCUUGUACAGGAUAGGUAGGAGCCUUUGAAACGUGAGCGCUAGCUUACGUGGAGGCGCUGGUGGGAUACUACCCUAGCUGUGUUGGCUUUCUAACCCGCACCACUUAUCGUGGUGGGAGACAGUGUCAGGCGGGCAGUUUGACUGGGGCGGUCGCCUCCUAAAAGGUAACGGAGGCGCUCAAAGGUUCCCUCAGAAUGGUUGGAAAUCAUUCAUAGAGUGUAAAGGCAUAAGGGAGCUUGACUGCGAGACCUACAAGUCGAGCAGGGUCGAAAGACGGACUUAGUGAUCCGGUGGUUCCGCAUGGAAGGGCCAUCGCUCAACGGAUAAAAGCUACCCCGGGGAUAACAGGCUUAUCUCCCCCAAGAGUUCACAUCGACGGGGAGGUUUGGCACCUCGAUGUCGGCUCAUCGCAUCCUGGGGCUGUAGUCGGUCCCAAGGGUUGGGCUGUUCGCCCAUUAAAGCGGUACGCGAGCUGGGUUCAGAACGUCGUGAGACAGUUCGGUCCCUAUCCGUCGUGGGCGUAGGAAAUUUGAGAGGAGCUGUCCUUAGUACGAGAGGACCGGGAUGGACAUACCUCUGGUGUACCAGUUGUCGUGCCAACGGCAUAGCUGGGUAGCUAUGUGUGGACGGGAUAAGUGCUGAAAGCAUCUAAGCAUGAAGCCCCCCUCAAGAUGAGAUUUCCCAACUUCGGUUAUAAGAUCCCUCAAAGAUGAUGAGGUUAAUAGGUUCGAGGUGGAAGCAUGGUGACAUGUGGAGCUGACGAAUACUAAUCGAUCGAAGACUUAAUCAA
This 2925-nucleotide ribosomal RNA is filed under the name Staphylococcus aureus. Its description in RNAcentral is "23S ribosomal RNA". It matches the Rfam family "Bacterial large subunit ribosomal RNA". Lineage: Bacteria; Bacillati; Bacillota; Bacilli; Caryophanales; Staphylococcaceae. The record is from RNAcentral.